This 76-nucleotide transfer RNA is filed under the name Pelagibacteraceae bacterium TMED258. RNAcentral's name for it is "tRNA-Gln". It matches the Rfam family "tRNA". From Rfam's summary of the family: Transfer RNA (tRNA) molecules are approximately 80 nucleotides in length. The record is from RNAcentral. Lineage: Bacteria; Pseudomonadati; Pseudomonadota; Alphaproteobacteria; Candidatus Pelagibacterales; Candidatus Pelagibacteraceae. RNAcentral also lists the same sequence under 2 other names.
UGGGGCGUAGCCAAGUGGUAAGGCACCGCUUUUUGGUAGCGGCAUUUCGAAGGUUCGAAUCCUUCCGCCCCAGCCA